RNAcentral lists this ribosomal RNA (1622 nucleotides) under metagenome. RNAcentral describes it as "bacterial LSU rRNA". It matches the Rfam family "Bacterial large subunit ribosomal RNA", at positions 1290 to 2925 of the family's 2925-position model. The record is from RNAcentral.
GAGAAUGCCGGAAUGAGUAGCGAGAGUGAAGUGAGAAUCUUUACCGCCGAAAAUCUAAGGUUUCCUGGGGAAGGUUCGUCCGCCCAGGGUAAGUCGGGGCCUAAGCUGAGGCUGAAAAGCGUAGGCGAUGGACAACAGGUUGAUAUUCCUGUACACCGAUGUUCGUCUGAGAGACGCGGGGACGCAGGGGGAUAGUUCGUGCCAGCUGCUGGAAUAGCUGGUCCAAGCGAGGUAGAUAGUCUUGUAGUUAAGUACGCAAGACGUUUCGAAGGCGUGAUGGGGAGGGAAAUUAGAGUACCGAAGUGAAUGAUUCCGCACUGACGAGAAAAUCCGCUAUCGAGAACAAAGGUGCCCGUACCGCAAACCGACACAGGUAGAUGAGGAGAGAAUCCUAAGGCGAUCGGAAGAAGGGUUGUUAAGGAACUCGGCAAAUUGAUCCCGUAAGUUAGCAAGAAGGGAUGCCUCUGGAAACAGAGGCCGCAGAGAAAUGGCCCAGGCAACUGUUUAUCAAAAACACAGGUCUCUGCUAAAUCGAAAGAUGAAGUAUAGGGGCUGACGCCUGCCCGGUGCUGGAAGGUUACGGGGAUUUGUUAGUCGCAAGGCGAAGCAAUGAACUUAAGCCCCAGUAAACGGCGGCCGUAACAAUAACGGUCCUAAGGUAGCGAAAUUCCUUGUCAGGUAAGUUCUGACCCGCACGAAUGGCGUAAUGAUCUGGGCACUGUCUCGACAACCUAUCCGGUGAAAUUGUAGUACUCGUGAAGAUGCGAGUUACCCGCGACUAGACGGAAAGACCCCAUGGAGCUUUACUGUAGCCUGAUACUGUGUUUCGGUAUUUCAUGUACAGGAUAGGAGGGAGGCUUUGAAGCGAGGACGUCAGUUCUCGUGGAGCCAACGUUGGGAUACCUCUCUUGAAGUACUGGAACACUAACCAGAACCCGUGAUCCGGGUUUGGGACAAUGUCAGGUGGGCAGUUUGACUGGGGCGGUCGCCUCCAAAAAGGUAACGGAGGCGCCCAAAGGUCUCCUCAGCACGGUUGGAAAUCGUGCAUCGAGUGUAAAGGCAUAAGGAGGCCUGACUGCGAGACAAACAAGUCGAGCAGGUACGAAAGUAGGGCUUAGUGAUCCGGCGGUAUGAGAGUGGAAUUGCCGUCGCUUAACGGAUAAAAGCUACCCUGGGAUAACAGGCUGAUCUCCCCCAAGAGUUCACAUCGACGGGGAGGUUUGGCACCUCGAUGUCGGCUCAUCACAUCCUGGAGCUGUAGCAGGUUCCAAGGUUUGGCUGUUCGCCAAUUAAAGUGGUACGCGAGCUGGGUUCAGAACGUCGUGAGACAGUUCGGUCCCUAUCUGUCGUGGGCGCAGGAUAUUUGAAGGGCGCUUUCCUUAGUACGAGAGGACCGGGAUGGACGCACCUCUGGUGCACCAGUUGUCACGCCAGUGGCACAGCUGGGUAGCUAAGUGCGGACGAGAUAAACGCUGAAGGCAUCUAAGCGUGAAACUCACCCUAAGAUGAGAUAUCCCACCAUUAUGGGUAAGACCCCAUGUAGGCUACAUGGUUGAUAGGUCGGGGGUGUAAGUAUGGCAACAUAUUUAGCUGACCGAUACUAAUAGGUCGAGGGCUUGACC